GACGAACUGUCCUAACGUUGUUCGGAAUCACUGGGCUUAAAGGGCGCGUAGGCGGUCCGACAAGUCAGGGGUGAAAUCCUGCAGCUUAACUGCAGAAGUGCCUUGGAUACUGUCGGUCUUGAGGGAGAUAGGGGUGUGCGGAACUCACAGUGGAGCGGUGAAAUGCGUUGAUAUUGUGAGGAACGCCGGAGGCGAAAGCGGCGCACUGGAUCUCUUCUGACGCUGAGGCGCGAAAGCUAGGGGAGCAAACGGG
RNAcentral lists this ribosomal RNA (253 nucleotides) under uncultured bacterium. RNAcentral's name for it is "partial 16S ribosomal RNA". It matches the Rfam family "Bacterial small subunit ribosomal RNA", at positions 524 to 776 of the family's 1533-position model. The record is from RNAcentral.